Long non-coding RNA from Cyprinus carpio (common carp), 620 nucleotides. RefSeq lists it as uncharacterized. The transcript is spliced from 3 exons. The record is from RefSeq and is a predicted model, not a curated record. Lineage: Eukaryota; Metazoa; Chordata; Actinopteri; Cypriniformes; Cyprinidae.
AAACCUUUUUCUCUCUCUUCUCAUAUCGUACUGAUAUGAUGAUGUGACAUUUGUUCUGUUUGUAUCUUCAUGUAUGUGUAGUGGACACACUAGAGCAUUAUGAUGACAUCAUCAUUAUUGGACAGAACUGUAAAGGUGUAACGAAGGGAGAUCAGGAGUAUGAUGAUGUGAAGAACAGCAAUGAAGAUGAGAAACCUGUUAGACUAUGAUGUGGGGGAGGAGUCAAAUAAAGAAGGAGGGGCCAUAUGACUCAAUGGCCACACCCUCUGCCUCUGUUCAUGAAAUCAUAUUACAGUUACUGGAGCUGCUGGGAGCUUCUCAUAUUGCUUUUAAUGCAUCAAUGCCUAAUGUUUUUAUGUUAUUUUAAAUAUUUUUGUAUGAAAAUUUAAAUAUUUGUAUUUUAGCAUUUGGUCUUUUAUUACUAUUUUGAUAUCAAUGCUUUUCACCUAAUAAACAAAAUAUAUCAUUCCAACAUCAUGUCACAAAAAUACUUUUAAAAGAGUCGUUAGAGAAAAGAAGAAAGUUAUGCUAUAAAUGUUUAAGAGAGUAUUUUUAGGCACUACUGUACUUUUAGGCUGCUGACAGUAUUAUUUACCUAAACCUAAUGCUAAAAAUAGAUU